GCAUUCCUGACCGGCACCUGGCGAGGCUCCUGCGUCCCGUGAGGGCGGUUCCUCGAGCCUGGGGGGCUCAGAUUGCUUUGGAGACGCUGAGAGAACCUUUGCGAGAGCGCCGGUUGACGUGCGGAGUGCGGGGCUCCGGGGGACUGAGCAGCACGAGACCCCAUCCUCCCCUCCGGGUUUUCACAGUGGGCGAAGGGAGGACUCCUGAGCUCUGCCUCUUCCAGUAACACUGAGGAUUACUGUGUUUUGUGAGAGCCCGCUAGGCGCCCUAAGCAACAGAGAGUCAAGCGUCAGCCUCACUGUUCCUCCCGUUGUAAAGCUGGAAAACGGCAGCUCGACCAACGUCAGCAUCGCCCUGCGGCCACCAUUAAAUGCAACCCUGGUGAUCACUUUUGAAAUCACAUUUCGUUCCAAAAAUAUUACUAUCCUUGAGCUCCCCGAUGAAGUUGUGAUGCCUCCCGGAGUGACAAAUUCCUCUUUUCAAGUGACAUCUCAAAAUGUUGGACAAGUUACUGUUUAUCUACACGGAAAUCACU
RNAcentral lists this small RNA (536 nucleotides) under Pongo abelii (Sumatran orangutan). RNAcentral describes it as "processed transcript". Lineage: Eukaryota; Metazoa; Chordata; Mammalia; Primates; Hominidae. The record is from RNAcentral.